Molecule: ribosomal RNA, 466 nt
Filed under: uncultured Glomus
Lineage: Eukaryota; Fungi; Glomeromycota; Glomeromycetes; Glomerales; Glomeraceae
Description: SSU rRNA
Rfam family: Eukaryotic small subunit ribosomal RNA
Source: RNAcentral
AGCAGCCGCGGUAAUUCCAGCUCCAAUAGCGUAUAUUAAAGUUGUUGCAGUUAAAAAGCUCGUAGUUGAAUUUCGGGAUCAAAUUGUUGGUCGUGCCUCGGUACGCACUGGUAUUAUUGGUUCCUACCUUCUGAAGAACCGCGAUGUCAUUAAUUUGGUGUCGUGGGGAAUCAGGACUGUUACUUUGAAAAAAUUAGAGUGUUUAAAGCAGGCUUACGCUUGAAUACAUUAGCAUGGAAUAAUGAAAUAGGACGUUUGAUUCUAUUUUGUUGGUUUCUAGGAUUGACGUAAUGAUUAAUAGGGAUAGUUGGGGGCAUUAGUAUUCAAUUGUCAGAGGUGAAAUUCUUGGAUUUAUUGAAGACUAACUACUGCGAAAGCAUUUGCCAAGGAUGUUUUCAUUAAUCAAGAACGAAAGUUAGGGGAUCGAAGACGAUCAGAUACCGUCGUAGUCUUAACCAUAAACUAU